This 480-nucleotide ribosomal RNA is filed under the name uncultured bacterium. Its description in RNAcentral is "bacterial SSU rRNA". It matches the Rfam family "Bacterial small subunit ribosomal RNA", at positions 30 to 502 of the family's 1533-position model. The record is from RNAcentral.
AUUGAACGCUGGCGGCAUGCCUAACACAUGCAAGUCGAACGGCAGCACGGGAGCUUGCUCCUGGUGGCGAGUGGCGGACGGGUGAGUAAUGCAUAGGAAUCUGCCCAGUAGCGGGGGACAACUUGGGGAAACUCAAGCUAAUACCGCAUGCGCCCUACGGGGGAAAGCGGGGGACCUUCGGGCCUCGCACUAUUGGAUGAGCCUAUGUCAGAUUAGCUUGUUGGUGGGUAACGGCCUACCAAGGCGACGAUCUGUAGCUGGUCUGAGAGGACGAUCAGCCACACUGGGACUGAGACACGGCCCAGACUCCUACGGGAGGCAGCAGUGGGGAAUAUUGCACAAUGGGCGAAAGCCUGAUGCAGCAAUGCCGCGUGUGUGAAGAAGGCCUGCGGGUUGUAAAGCACUUUCAGUAGGAGGAAACAGUAGCCGGUUAAUAUCCGGUUGCCUUGACGUUACCUACAGAAGAAGCACCGGCUAACU